This is a long non-coding RNA of Mauremys reevesii (Reeves's turtle), 247 nucleotides long. RefSeq lists it as uncharacterized. Lineage: Eukaryota; Metazoa; Chordata; Testudines; Geoemydidae. The record is from RefSeq and is a predicted model, not a curated record. The transcript is spliced from 3 exons.
CUUGGGAAUAGCUCCUCCCAGCCAGCAGGUGGAGACGGUGCAAAUUCUGCAGUGUCUCAUGAUGAGGAUUCCUCCCCUGAAGCCCUUGGGAAUUGUGUGUGGAAACCAGCUGCAGAAUCAGGCAAUAAACAGGUUACGUUGGGUGACCCCCCCUGCUAACACUUCAGGUACAACAAUGAGAAAGCCCAACAGUGCUGACGGCCCAUCAGCAAGAGACAAUGGAUUGUAAAAGAGCUUAGUCUUCCUG